GUGGCCUACGGGACGCAGCAGUGAGGAAUAUUGGUCAAUGGCCGAGAGGCUGAACCAGCCAAGUCGCGUGAGGGAUGACGGCCCUACGGGUUGUAAACCUCUUUUGUCGGGGAGCAAGACCCGCCACGAGUGGCGGAGCGAGAGUACCCGAAGAAAAAGCAUCGGCUAACUCCGUGCCAGCAGCCGCGGUAAUACGGAGGAUGCGAGCGUUAUCCGGAAUGAUUGGGCGUAAAGGGGGCGUAGGCGGCCUGCUAAGUCUGGAGUGAAAGGUACCG
This 275-nucleotide ribosomal RNA is filed under the name uncultured bacterium. Its description in RNAcentral is "partial 16S ribosomal RNA". It matches the Rfam family "Bacterial small subunit ribosomal RNA", at positions 334 to 606 of the family's 1533-position model. The record is from RNAcentral.